GAUUUUUGCAAGUUCAGCUUGAGCUUUCUUCAUAAUCCGAGGUUGUCUAAGUGUUUCUGCCAUUGCCCAUUCCAAUGUGCUUGUAGUUGUAUCCGUACCCGCACUAAAUAAGUCCUACAACAUUUGUAUAUCAAAAAAUAUAACCAUAAAUUACAGUAACUAAAAGAAA
Lycium ferocissimum is the source of this 169-nucleotide long non-coding RNA. RefSeq lists it as uncharacterized. NCBI's taxonomy places the organism in Eukaryota, Viridiplantae, Streptophyta, Magnoliopsida, Solanales, Solanaceae. The record is from RefSeq and is a predicted model, not a curated record. The transcript is spliced from 2 exons.